This 497-nucleotide ribosomal RNA is filed under the name uncultured bacterium. RNAcentral describes it as "partial 16S ribosomal RNA". It matches the Rfam family "Bacterial small subunit ribosomal RNA", at positions 28 to 507 of the family's 1533-position model. The record is from RNAcentral.
GAUGAACGCUGGCGGCGUGCCUAAUACAUGCAAGUCGAGCGAACGGACGAGAAGCUUGCUUCUCUGAUGUUAGCGGCGGACGGGUGAGUAACACGUGGAUAACCUACCUAUAAGACUGGGAUAACUUCGGGAAACCGGGGCUAAUACCGGAUAAUAUUUUGAACCGCAUGGUUCAAAAGUGAAAGACGGUCUUGCUGUCACUUAUAGAUGGAUCCGCGCUGCAUUAGCUAGUUGGUAAGGUAACGGCUUACCAAGGCAACGAUGCAUAGCCGACCUGAGAGGUUGAUCGGCCACACUGGAACUGAGACACGGUCCAGACCCCUACGGGAGGCAGCAGUAGGGAAUCUUCCGCAAUGGGCGAAAGCCUGACGGAGCAACGCCGCGUGAGUGAUGAAGGUCUUCGGAUCGUAAAACUCUGUUAUUAGGGAAGAACAUAUGUGUAAGUAACUGUGCACAUCUUGACGGUACCUAAUCAGAAAGCCACGGCUAACUACGUG